GGGUUGUGAGGUUAAGCGACUAAGCGUACACGGUGGAUGCCCUGGCAGUCAGAGGCGAUGAAGGGCGUGCUAAUCUGCGAUAAGCGCCGGUAAGGUGAUAUGAACCGUUAUAACCGGCGAUACCCGAAUGGGGAAACCCAGUGUGACUCGUCACACUAUCAUUAACUGAAUCCAUAGGUUAAUGAGGCGAACCGGGGGAACUGAAACAUCUAAGUACCCCGAGGAAAAGAAAUCAACCGAGAUUCCCCCAGUAGCGGCGAGCGAACGGGGAGGAGCCCAGAGCCUGAAUCAGCAUGUGUGUUAGUGGAAGCGUCUGGAAAGGCGCGCGAUACAGGGUGACAGCCCCGUACACAAAAGCGCAUGUGCUGUGAGCUCGAUGAGUAGGGCGGGACACGUGGUAUCCUGUCUGAAUAUGGGGGGACCAUCCUCCAAGGCUAAAUACUCCUGACUGACCGAUAGUGAACCAGUACCGUGAGGGAAAGGCGAAAAGAACCCCGGCGAGGGGAGUGAAAAAGAACCUGAAACCGUGUACGUACAAGCAGUGGGAGCACCCUUCGGGGUGUGACUGCGUACCUUUUGUAUAAUGGGUCAGCGACUUAUAUUCUGUAGCAAGGUUAACCGAAUAGGGGAGCCGGAGGGAAACCGAGUCUUAAUUGGGCGUUAAGUUGCAGGGUAUAGACCCGAAACCCGGUGAUCUAGCCAUGGGCAGGUUGAAGGUUGGGUAACACUAACUGGAGGACCGAACCGACUAAUGUUGAAAAAUUAGCGGAUGACCUGUGGCUGGGGGUGAAAGGCCAAUCAAACCGGGAGAUAGCUGGUUCUCCCCGAAAGCUAUUUAGGUAGCGCCUCGUGAAUUCAUCUCCGGGGGUAGAGCACUGUUUCGGCUAGGGGGCCAUCCCGGCUUACCAACCCGAUGCAAACUGCGAAUACCGGAGAAUGUUAUCACGGGAGACACACGGCGGGUGCUAACGUCCGUCGUGAAGAGGGAAACAACCCAGACCGCCAGCUAAGGUCCCAAAGUCAUGGUUAAGUGGGAAACGAUGUGGGAAGGCCCAGACAGCCAGGAUGUUGGCUUAGAAGCAGCCAUCAUUUAAAGAAAGCGUAAUAGCUCACUGGUCGAGUCGGCCUGCGCGGAAGAUGUAACGGGGCUAAACCAUGCACCGAAGCUGCGGCAGCGACACUGUGUGUUGUUGGGUAGGGGAGCGUUCUGUAAGCCUGUGAAGGUGGCCUGUGAGGGGUGCUGGAGGUAUCAGAAGUGCGAAUGCUGACAUAAGUAACGAUAAAGCGGGUGAAAAGCCCGCUCGCCGGAAGACCAAGGGUUCCUGUCCAACGUUAAUCGGGGCAGGGUGAGUCGACCCCUAAGGCGAGGCCGAAAGGCGUAGUCGAUGGGAAACGGGUUAAUAUUCCCGUACUUGGUGUUACUGCGAAGGGGGGACGGAGAAGGCUAUGUUGGCCGGGCGACGGUUGUCCCGGUUUAAGCGUGUAGGUGUGUGUUCCAGGUAAAUCCGGUUCACUUUAACACUGAGGCGUGAUGACGAGGCACUACGGUGCUGAAGCAACAAAUGCCCUGCUUCCAGGAAAAGCCUCUAAGCAUCAGGUAACAUCAAAUCGUACCCCAAACCGACACAGGUGGUCAGGUAGAGAAUACCAAGGCGCUUGAGAGAACUCGGGUGAAGGAACUAGGCAAAAUGGUGCCGUAA
Molecule: ribosomal RNA, 1700 nt
Filed under: Salmonella enterica subsp. enterica serovar Potsdam
Lineage: Bacteria; Pseudomonadati; Pseudomonadota; Gammaproteobacteria; Enterobacterales; Enterobacteriaceae
Description: partial 23S ribosomal RNA
Rfam family: Bacterial large subunit ribosomal RNA
Source: RNAcentral